This 542-nucleotide ribosomal RNA is filed under the name uncultured Microcoleus sp. RNAcentral's name for it is "bacterial SSU rRNA". It matches the Rfam family "Bacterial small subunit ribosomal RNA", at positions 845 to 1368 of the family's 1533-position model. The record is from RNAcentral. Lineage: Bacteria; Bacillati; Cyanobacteriota; Cyanophyceae; Oscillatoriales; Microcoleaceae.
CCGGUAGCGUAACGCGUUAAGUAUACCCGCCUGGGACGGUUUAACGGUCACGCAAGNGUGAAACUCAAACGGAAAGUUGACGGGGGCCCGGCGACAAGACGGUGGAGGUAUGUGGUUUAAUUUCGGAUGCAACGCGAAGAACCUUACCAGGACUUGACAUGUCGCGAAUCCAGUGGAAACACACGGAGUGCCUUCGGGAGCGCGAACACAGGUGGUGCAUGGCUAGUCGUCAGCUCGUGUCGUGAGAGUGUUGGGUUAAGUCCCGCAACGAGCGCAACCCUCGUGUUUAGUUGCCAUCAUUAAGUUGGGCACUCUAAACAGACUGCCGGUGACAAACCGGAGGAAGGUGGGGAUGACGUCAAGUCAGCAUGCCCCUUACGUCCUGGGCUACACACGUACUACAAUGGUAGGGACAGAGGGCAGCCAACCCACGAGGGCGAGCUAAUCCCGUAAACCCUGCCUCAGUUCAGAUUGCAGGCUGCAACUCGCCUGCAUGAAGGCGGAAUCGCUAGUAAUCGCAGGUCAGCAUACUGCGGUGAAUC